Long non-coding RNA from Aegilops tauschii subsp. strangulata, 1796 nucleotides. RefSeq lists it as uncharacterized. Lineage: Eukaryota; Viridiplantae; Streptophyta; Magnoliopsida; Poales; Poaceae. The record is from RefSeq and is a predicted model, not a curated record.
CUAACCCACCUUCUUCCCCGCGCCGCCAAUUACCUUCCCAACCCGUGCGCCCCACGGGCAACCUCCUCGGCACACCACAGAGCCCGCACCGCCGGCUAGCCACCGCGCCGCCACUCCCCCACCCCAUCUCCAUCGCCACCGUCCCUCCCAACGCCUACCACCCCCCAAAUCCCGGUGAUGGCCUCCCAACUCAUCCCCUUAUCCAACACUCGCGCGACGGCCUUGCAUCAUUGUUCCCUGCGGCCACGGUUCGAGCUCGCGGUCCCGUCCCCAGUCCGAGUUGCCGCGCGCCUCCUGCCUUCCUCGCCGAGCGGCCACCGACAACCUCCACCUAUGCAUUGGAUUUAUCCUCCCGCAUCGCCGUGGAUCGGGGGAAGAGGAAGGUCGAGGUCGCCAACCGCACCGUCUUCCUCGGGUGCCGGGGAUGCUUCACCGUGCACCCGAUGUGUCCCCAAUGUGGACUGUGUGGGAGCAGGGGGAGGAGGUGCCACGGACUCGCCCUCCCUUCGUCGCGCCCAGCUACGACGUCCACCACCGCCGCUCCAUUGUCCCUUCCUUCGCCUGCCCGUGGAUGCGGCACGAUUCACAUAUCUAGUGCGAAUGGCUCCCAGAAGAAAAACACACCGGCGAGAGAGGCCCACGAGUCGGCUUGUCGAUGGGCGACUGUAUGUUCUUCAACCCGGGUUCUACAGGAUCCGACGGGGGUGCCAGAGUGUGCCGUACGCUGCCGGAGUGUGCAGUAUGCUCGGGCUCCCGACGCGGUUCAGUCCCAGCGGUGCUGCAGUGCGGCCGCACCUGGAGUCCCGUGCCGCCUUGCCGCCGUCUCCAGGCCGCGACGGUCCUCCCGCGACGCCCCGCCACCGGAUCCAGGCCGCGCCCCCCACAACACCCUGGCACCAGCCGCCAUGAGCCUCCUCCACCCCCCUGGACCAGCCCUCCCUCCAGCCUCCUCCUCAGACGGUGUGCUGGAUGGCCGGCUCAUCGCCCUGCUGCCUUCUUCCUUCAGCGUCGGCCUCCGUGGUGCAGUCCGGCGUCCGUGGAACGUGCAGCUCGCUAGCUCGUUGCAUGCGGUUUCGGCAGUGCAGGCAAGCAAUACACGGCCAUGCCCGCGUCCAAGUGGUGCAGAUUGGUGCCUGUGUCCAUGCACUUCGUAGGUGUAUUCGGGAACAAACAACAAAAAAGUUUGGUCUCCGACGAGCGCCUUGGACAUCUCCCGUAUUUCGUUCCUUGCCUGGGUUACCAUUUUAGUUUUGGUCAGUGUUCUGUGCAGUCGACUUCAUGAGCAGUACGCGGGUGGUUCCAUGAGGUGUCGUGCCCUUGUGCGUGCAGUUCGCGUGGCACGGAGAGCCUGUGCAUGCACAAACGUGGCCGCCGGGAGGCGCACAAGGAGGGCGACGACAGCGAAGCCCCCACCUCUAGGAGAUUGAGAAACGAAGGACUUUGCUAGCAAUCUCGUCUACUAAUCCGUGUCAGCAAGAUUUUUAGCAUUAUUUUUUUGCAUGUUCCCCUCGGUUCACUAUUUUGGUUUGGGUAGAAAAAAUGUUAAGUAUAGGGCGGUUCAUAGUUUUCUCUUUUAUAGUGUGCAGCGGUUCAUUUGUCCGUGCACGGCGGUUUGAUCUGUUUUAUUUGAUGUAAAAUAAAGAUAACAGGCAAACAACUAGUAGUUUGUGGUUUAUUUUUUCAUGCUAUAAACUCCUCGCCGUUGGUGGUUGUAACACCCCGGAUGUAACUUACCAUAUUUGUAACUCCAACUCUUGCCAUUUUCGGCUAUGUGUUAUGAUAUUCCCUUCGUGGUC